This 166-nucleotide ribosomal RNA is filed under the name Senecio lacustrinus. RNAcentral describes it as "5.8S ribosomal RNA". It matches the Rfam family "5.8S ribosomal RNA". From Rfam's summary of the family: 5.8S ribosomal RNA (5.8S rRNA) is a component of the large subunit of the eukaryotic ribosome. It is transcribed by RNA polymerase I as part of the 45S precursor that also contains 18S and 28S rRNA. The record is from RNAcentral. RNAcentral also lists the same sequence under 1 other name. Lineage: Eukaryota; Viridiplantae; Streptophyta; Magnoliopsida; Asterales; Asteraceae.
CAUAAACGACUCUCGGCAACGGAUAUCUCGGCUCACGCAUCGAUGAAGAACGUAGCAAAAUGCGAUACUUGGUGUGAAUUGCAGAAUCCCGUGAACCAUCGAGUUUUUGAACGCAAGUUGCGCCCGAAGCCUUUUGGUCGAGGGCACGUCUGCCUGGGCGUCACAC